AGAGUUUGAUCCUGGCUCAGGAUGAACGCUGGCGGCGUGCCUAAUACAUGCAAGUCGAACGAGUUCUGAUUAUUGAAAGGUGCUUGCAUCUUGAUUUGAUUUUGAACGAGUGGCGGACGGGUGAGUAACACGUGGGUAACCUGCCCUUAAGUGGGGGAUAACAUUUGGAAACAGAUGCUAAUACCGCAUAAAUCCAAGAACCGCAUGGUUCUUGGCUGAAAGAUGGCGUAAGCUAUCGCUUUUGGAUGGACCCGCGGCGUAUUAGCUAGUUGGUGAGGUAACGGCUCACCAAGGCAAUGAUACGUAGCCGAACUGAGAGGUUGAUCGGCCACAUUGGGACUGAGACACGGCCCAAACUCCUACGGGAGGCAGCAGUAGGGAAUCUUCCACAAUGGACGCAAGUCUGAUGGAGCAACGCCGCGUGAGUGAAGAAGGCUUUCGGGUCGUAAAACUCUGUUGUUGGAGAAGAAUGGUCGGCAGAGUAACUGUUGUCGGCGUGACGGUAUCCAACCAGAAAGCCACGGCUAACUACGUGCCAGCAGCCGCGGUAAUACGUAGGUGGCAAGCGUUAUCCGGAUUUAUUGGGCGUAAAGCGAGCGCAGGCGGUUUUUUAAGUCUGAUGUGAAAGCCCUCGGCUUAACCGAGGAAGUGCAUCGGAAACUGGGAAACUUGAGUGCAGAAGAGGACAGUGGAACUCCAUGUGUAGCGGUGAAAUGCGUAGAUAUAUGGAAGAACACCAGUGGCGAAGGCGGCUGUCUGGUCUGUAACUGACGCUGAGGCUCGAAAGCAUGGGUAGCGAACAGGAUUAGAUACCCUGGUAGUCCAUGCCGUAAACGAUGAAUGCUAGGUGUUGGAGGGUUUCCGCCCUUCAGUGCCGCAGCUAACGCAUUAAGCAUUCCGCCUGGGGAGUACGACCGCAAGGUUGAAACUCAAAGGAAUUGACGGGGGCCCGCACAAGCGGUGGAGCAUGUGGUUUAAUUCGAAGCAACGCGAAGAACCUUACCAGGUCUUGACAUCUUUUGAUCACCUGAGAGAUCAGGUUUCCCCUUCGGGGGCAAAAUGACAGGUGGUGCAUGGUUGUCGUCAGCUCGUGUCGUGAGAUGUUGGGUUAAGUCCCGCAACGAGCGCAACCCUUAUGACUAGUUGCCCAGCAUUUAGUUGGGCACUCUAGUAAGACUGCCGGUGACAAACCGGAGGAAGGUGGGGAUGACGUCAAAUCAUCAUGCCCCUUAUGACCUGGGCUACACACGUGCUACAAUGGAUGGUACAACGAGUUGCGAGACCGCGAGGUCAAGCUAAUCUCUUAAAGCCAUUCUCAGUUCGGACUGUAGGCUGCAACUCGCCUACACGAAGUCGGAAUCGCUAGUAAUCGCGGAUCAGCACGCCGCGGUGAAUACGUUCCGGGGCCUUGUACACACCGCCCGUCACACCAUGAGAGUUUGUAACACCCGAAGCCGGUGGCGUAACCCUUUUAGGGAGCGAGCCGUCUAAGGUGGGACAAAUGAUUAGGGUGAAGUCGUAACAAGGUAACC
Molecule: ribosomal RNA, 1532 nt
Filed under: Lacticaseibacillus rhamnosus
Lineage: Bacteria; Bacillati; Bacillota; Bacilli; Lactobacillales; Lactobacillaceae
Description: bacterial SSU rRNA
Rfam family: Bacterial small subunit ribosomal RNA
Source: RNAcentral